This 402-nucleotide ribosomal RNA is filed under the name uncultured bacterium. RNAcentral's name for it is "partial 16S ribosomal RNA". It matches the Rfam family "Archaeal small subunit ribosomal RNA", at positions 473 to 873 of the family's 1478-position model. The record is from RNAcentral.
ACACCGGCAGCUCAAGUGGUAGCCGCUUUUAUUGGGCCUAAAGCGUCCGUAGCCGGUCUGAUAAGUCUCUGGUGAAAUCCCGCAGCUUAACUGUGGGAAUUGCUGGAGAUACUAUCAUGACUCGAGGUCGGGAGAGGCUGGAGGUACUCCCAGGGUAGGGGUGAAAUCCUGUAAUCCUGGGAGGACCACCUGUGGCGAAGGCGGCUAACUGGAACGAACCUGACGGUGAGGGACAAAAGCUAGGGGCGCGAACCGGAUUAGAUACCCGGGUAGUCCUAGCCGUAAACGAUGCGGACUUGGUGUUGGGAUGGCUUUGAGCCGCUCCGGUGCCGAAGGGAAGCUGUUAAGUCCGCCGCCUGGGAAGUACGGUCGCAAGACUGAAACUUAAAUGAAUUGGCGGGG